Pimephales promelas (fathead minnow) is the source of this 587-nucleotide non-coding RNA. The record is from RefSeq and is a predicted model, not a curated record. NCBI's taxonomy places the organism in Eukaryota, Metazoa, Chordata, Actinopteri, Cypriniformes, Leuciscidae.
GCACAAACAAUGAACAGUCUUUCAUCACAAAACCAAAAUAUAUUGGAGCUCGCAGGAGAAUAAACCACAACACAAAUCAAAGACAAGAACCUAAUUUAAGGCACCAAACCCCUUUCCCAGAAGAGUUGCCAUGCAACAUUUUCCUGCUCUAAACGAGUGCAUUCCCGCACGUCACCGCGUGCAGUUUUCUGUGUGUUGUUUCAGUUGAUUGUUAUGGAGCUUGACAGUGUAUGUUGGCUCUGGUCAAUAUGGUGGUGUUAUUUUAUCAUUGCAGUCAGUAUUCAUCACAUCAUGCGCAAUCAGUCGGGAAGUUGGGUCUGCUGAAGAGAAUCACUGAUUCACUUUGGGCUUUUUUUUAUUAUGCAGCCUCAUUUUUGGCAAACUGCAUUGCAAGUUCAGAGAGUUCAGCAGUUUCCCUUGAAAGACUUUUAGUAAAAGUAAUGUAAGAAAAGAUUUAGCAGUUACAGCAAUUACAGGGCCAAGCACAGUGGAUGAAACGUCAUAACUUUAGCACAAUCCAAUUCAUUCAGAGAACAGUUAAACAAUUGUACUCCUCAGAAUAUAAGACUAGUAUCCAUCCAAUACUU